GACGAACGCUGGCGGCGUGCUUAACACAUGCAAGUCGAACGCAGAAGCACCAGCUUGCUGGUGUGGAUGAGUGGCGAACGGGUGAGUAAUACGUGAGUAACCUGCCCUUGACUCUGGGAUAAGCCCUGGAAACUGGGUCUAAUACUGGAUGCUACAUGUUACCGCAUGGUGGUGUGUGGAAAGGGUUUACUGGUCUUGGAUGGGCUCACGGCCUAUCAGCUUGUUGGUGAGUUAAUGGCUCACCAAGUCGACGACGGGUAGCUGCACUGUGGGGGUGAGCGGCCACACUGGGACUGAGGCAAGGCACCGGCACCGACGGGAGGCAGAAGGGGGGAAUCUUGACCGAGGGGCGACGGGCGAAUGCAGAGGGGCCGCGGAAGGGAUGACGGCCUUCGGGUUGAAAAACACUUUCGGCAGGAAAGGAGCCACAAGUGACGGUACCUGCAGAAGAAGCGCCGGCUAACUACGUG
This 470-nucleotide ribosomal RNA is filed under the name uncultured bacterium. RNAcentral describes it as "partial 16S ribosomal RNA". It matches the Rfam family "Bacterial small subunit ribosomal RNA", at positions 28 to 507 of the family's 1533-position model. The record is from RNAcentral.